RNAcentral lists this ribosomal RNA (253 nucleotides) under uncultured bacterium. Its description in RNAcentral is "partial 16S ribosomal RNA". It matches the Rfam family "Bacterial small subunit ribosomal RNA", at positions 524 to 776 of the family's 1533-position model. The record is from RNAcentral.
UACGAAGGGGGCUAGCGUUGCUCGGAAUCACUGGGCGUAAAGCGCACGUAGGCGGCUUCUUAAGUCAGGGGUGAAAUCCCAGGGCUCAACCCUGGAACUGCCUCUGAUACUGGCAAUCUGGAGAUCGGGAGAGGUUGGUGGAAUUCCGAGUGUAGAGGUGAAAUUCGUAGAUAUUCGCAAGAACACCAGUGGCGAAGGCGGCUCACUGGCCCGAUACUGACGCUGAGGCACGAAAGCGUGGGGAGCAAACAGG